This 73-nucleotide transfer RNA is filed under the name Balaenoptera acutorostrata scammoni. RNAcentral describes it as "tRNA-Gln (TTG) (tRNA-Gln-TTG-7-1)". It matches the Rfam family "tRNA". From Rfam's summary of the family: Transfer RNA (tRNA) molecules are approximately 80 nucleotides in length. Their secondary structure includes four short double-helical elements and three loops (D, anti-codon, and T loops). Lineage: Eukaryota; Metazoa; Chordata; Mammalia; Artiodactyla; Balaenopteridae. The record is from RNAcentral.
UCCCUGGGGGUCCAGUGGUUAGGACUCCACGCUUUUGCUGCCGAGGGCCCAGGUUCGAUUCCUGGUCAGGGAA